GCAUCCAUAGCUCAAUUGGAUAGAGUGCAUGACUUCGGAUCAUGAGGUUGAGGGUUCGACUCCUUCUGGGUGCGCCA
RNAcentral lists this transfer RNA (77 nucleotides) under Mycoplasmataceae bacterium. RNAcentral's name for it is "tRNA-Arg". It matches the Rfam family "tRNA". Rfam says of the family: Transfer RNA (tRNA) molecules are approximately 80 nucleotides in length. Their secondary structure includes four short double-helical elements and three loops (D, anti-codon, and T loops). Further hydrogen bonds mediate the characteristic L-shaped molecular structure. tRNAs have two regions of fundamental functional importance: the anti-codon, which is responsible for specific mRNA codon recognition, and the 3' end, to which the tRNAs corresponding amino acid is attached (by aminoacyl-tRNA synthetases). tRNAs cope with the degeneracy of the genetic code in two manners: having more than one tRNA (with a specific anti-codon) for a particular amino acid; and 'wobble' base-pairing, i.e. permitting non-standard base-pairing at the 3rd anti-codon position. The record is from RNAcentral. Lineage: Bacteria; Bacillati; Mycoplasmatota; Mollicutes; Mycoplasmatales; Mycoplasmataceae.